Molecule: long non-coding RNA, 512 nt
Filed under: Medicago truncatula (barrel medic)
Lineage: Eukaryota; Viridiplantae; Streptophyta; Magnoliopsida; Fabales; Fabaceae
Description: long non-coding RNA (MTRU_LNC004521)
Source: RNAcentral
AAUUUGAUUGAUGAUAAAAAUGUGUUAAAGGUUGGUGGUGGAGUAGGUAAAAGGGUAAGAGGAGAAGUUCUCAAAAGAAUCAAUAAAAGGGUGGUGGUGGUGGUGAUGCAUAUGAGAUUCCAAAGACAGGUGGUAUAGGCCCUUCAUAUACAGGUGGUGGUGGCGGCGAUGAAUAUACCGGUGGUGGAGGUGAGGGAUAUGCAUAUACUGGUGAUGGUGGGGGUGAGGUGUAUACCGGUGGUGGCGGUGAGGGAUAGGCAUAUACUGGUGAUGGUGGUGGUGAUGGGGAUGGUGGUGGGUGAUAAGGUGUUUGAUGUGGCGCUGGCGAUGAUGGUGGUGGAGGUUCUACACAAGGUGGCGGUGGAGGUGGUGGAGGUUCUACACAAGGUGGUGGAGAUGGCGGUGGUGGUGAAUAGACUGGUGGUGGAGGUGAGUGUACUGGAGGAGGUGGUGGGGGUGAUAAAUAUGGAUAUACGGGUGGAGGAGGUGAGUGAGGUGGUGGUGGUGGCGAA